This 744-nucleotide ribosomal RNA is filed under the name Salmonella enterica. RNAcentral describes it as "partial 23S ribosomal RNA". It matches the Rfam family "Bacterial large subunit ribosomal RNA", at positions 678 to 1334 of the family's 2925-position model. Lineage: Bacteria; Pseudomonadati; Pseudomonadota; Gammaproteobacteria; Enterobacterales; Enterobacteriaceae. The record is from RNAcentral.
CGAGUCUUAAUUGGGCGUUAAGUUGCAGGGUAUAGACCCGAAACCCGGUGAUCUAGCCAUGGGCAGGUUGAAGGUUGGGUAACACUAACUGGAGGACCGAACCGACUAAUGUUGAAAAAUUAGCGGAUGACCUGUGGCUGGGGGUGAAAGGCCAAUCAAACCGGGAGAUAGCUGGUUCUCCCCGAAAGCUAUUUAGGUAGCGCCUCGUGAAUUCAUCUCCGGGGGUAGAGCACUGUUUCGGCUAGGGGGCCAUCCCGGCUUACCAACCCGAUGCAAACUGCGAAUACCGGAGAAUGUUAUCACGGGAGACACACGGCGGGUGCUAACGUCCGUCGUGAAGAGGGAAACAACCCAGACCGCCAGCUAAGGUCCCAAAGUCAUGGUUAAGUGGGAAACGAUGUGGGAAGGCCCAGACAGCCAGGAUGUUGGCUUAGAAGCAGCCAUCAUUUAAAGAAAGCGUAAUAGCUCACUGGUCGAGUCGGCCUGCGCGGAAGAUGUAACGGGGCUAAACCAUGCACCGAAGCUGCGGCAGCGAACGUAUCACCCAAGACAACUUUACGGAGUUGACGAUUGACGGAGCGAAGCGACGUCAAAGCGUUCAUUAAAGUCGAGUUGGCUUAGGGAUACGUUCGUUGGGUAGGGGAGCGUUCUGUAAGCCUGUGAAGGUGUGUCGUGAGGCAUGCUGGAGGUAUCAGAAGUGCGAAUGCUGACAUAAGUAACGAUAAAGCGGGUGAAAAGCCCGCU